This 301-nucleotide ribosomal RNA is filed under the name uncultured bacterium. RNAcentral describes it as "partial 16S ribosomal RNA". It matches the Rfam family "Bacterial small subunit ribosomal RNA", at positions 509 to 807 of the family's 1533-position model. The record is from RNAcentral.
CAGCAGCCGCUGGAAUACGAAGGGGGCUAGCGUUGCUCGGAAUGACUGGGCGUAAAGGGCGCGUAGGCGGUUUGUACAGUUGGAUGUGAAAUUCCUGGGCUUAACCUGGGGGCUGCAUUCAAUACGUGCAGGCUUGAGUGGGGAAGAGGGUCGUGGAAUUCCCAGUGUAGAGGUGAAAUUCGUAGAUAUUGGGAAGAACACCGGUGGCGAAGGCGGCGACCUGGUCCUUGACUGACGCUGAGGCGCGAAAGCGUGGGGAGCAAACAGGAUUAGAUACCCCGGUAGUCCCUGUCUCUUAUAC